Molecule: unclassified non-coding RNA, 350 nt
Filed under: soil metagenome
Description: partial contains 5.8S ribosomal RNA, internal transcribed spacer 2, and large subunit ribosomal RNA
Rfam family: 5.8S ribosomal RNA (bases 1-120)
Source: RNAcentral
GAUGAAGAACGUAGCGAAAUGCGAUAAGUAAUGUGAAUUGCAGAAUUCAGUGAAUCAUCGAAUCUUUGAACGCACAUUGCGCCCGCCAGUAUUCUGGCGGGCAUGCCUGUCCGAGCGUCAUUUCAACCCUCGAACCCCUCCGGGGGGUCGGCGUUGGGGAUCGGCCCUUUACGGGGCCGGCCCCGAAAUACAGUGGCGGUCUCGCCGCAGCCUCUCCUGCGCAGUAGUUUGCACACUCGCAUCGGGAGCGUGGCGCGUCCACAGCCGUUAAACACCCCAAACUUCUGAAAUGUUGAACUCGGAUCAGGUAGGAAUACCCGCUGAACUUAAGCAUAUAAAUAAGCGGAGGA